This 476-nucleotide unclassified non-coding RNA is filed under the name Hevea brasiliensis (rubber tree). Lineage: Eukaryota; Viridiplantae; Streptophyta; Magnoliopsida; Malpighiales; Euphorbiaceae. The record is from RNAcentral.
ACCAUCACCAAAUUUCCAUUUGAUUGGUCAUUCCAAUUGUCUUUUUGCAGUAAAAAGGCACAAAGUCCACUAUGACAAAAUACCAUAACCUGCACAGGUUCUCUAAGACAUGCAACACACUCCAAACAGUUAAUAAUAGACAACCAGCAAUAAUUUCCUUACAAUUUCUCUGCAAGUAUUUCCCUAUAUUUAUUCUCGUACAAAAAAAAAAUUGAGUAAAGUAAAAAAUAAAAAAGAGGGAAAUGACACAAUGACAAUGACAAAUUUCAAACUAGCAAGUUUUUGGAUACAGCUAAAAGGGCAUUGUCUUAAUUAAGCAUUGGAGUCCAAAACAAUAAUAAUAACCAUACAUCUAAGGCCAUAGACUGAAUGAAGCAUUUUGGAUUUAGACAUUUCUAGGGCUAUAAAGAUGUUGCAUUCAAUAAACUACAUCUGGAAAGGAGAAUCACCAUGUAAGGACUAAGGAGAUAUCACCG